RNAcentral lists this long non-coding RNA (410 nucleotides) under Phascolarctos cinereus (koala). RNAcentral's name for it is "lncRNA (ENSPCIG00000012741.2)". The record is from RNAcentral. Lineage: Eukaryota; Metazoa; Chordata; Mammalia; Diprotodontia; Phascolarctidae.
GUCAUGACCUUGACAAGUCCCCUGAUGCACUUCAGUAUGUUCCUAAUGGUGGACCACUUGGUGAGGGAGAGUUAUUUGAACAAGUACCAGACUUUGACAAUGUCAUAUGGGUGACCAAAAACUUGGAUUAUGAAAAACCAGAGGCUUCUGUAGUGGGUCAUACCUACGAGAUGAUGGUUUCUGUCUUUGAUGACAACAGGCCCUCCCACACAGUCACUGUUACUAUCAUUGUGGAGGUUGUUCCUGCCAAUGAAUUCGGUCCAGUUUUCAGGCCUGCAAGUUACUCAUUCUCUGUUCCAGAAACAUCAGGAGCCUCCUAUGAAGUUGGAAGAGUGACUGCUUUUGAUGAAGACAAUCCACCAAACUGUGUGAGGUACAAAAUAAUCAGAGGAGACGCCCAGCAUCUUUGA